Ornithorhynchus anatinus (platypus) is the source of this 493-nucleotide long non-coding RNA. RefSeq lists it as uncharacterized. The record is from RefSeq and is a predicted model, not a curated record. The transcript is spliced from 3 exons. Lineage: Eukaryota; Metazoa; Chordata; Mammalia; Monotremata; Ornithorhynchidae.
AAGAGGGUGCGCGGAUUUCCAGUGAUCCUAGAAAGAACACCUAAAAUGCUCUCCAGUGCAGACUCACUACGAGCUCCGUGGUGAUCCCUAAAGACUCUCCACCGGCCCCUUGGGCCCUGAGAUACAUCAGAAAACAUCUGCUAAGUCCGUGUAAAGCCUUGGCUCUCACCCUUUCGUACGCUCCCCGAUCUGAGGGUCGGCACAACGCAUCAUCCGCCCUUUUCACGUAACGGAUCGUCGUCUUCAAGCGGGCAGGACAAUCACAUAAUCGAAGAGUCAAAGCAACUGAUGCCUCAAACGUCGCAAGGAGGAAUUAAGAGAACGCACUUUAGAUUGAUCGCAGAUCGUCGCGUCCACGGCUCCAAGUGCCCAUUACCGGAAAGACAGCGCAGCCCACACACUGCAAUUCGGGAUGAUGGCCGUGGGAGCUCCCUGGAAGCAGCAAGGGACAGUGGAUAGAGCACGGGGUCCGGGCGUCGGAAGGUCACGGGUU